CAAGGAUCCAAAAGGCUGUGAUUCAUCUUGGGAGAGACUUAUCUACAAUGAGAAGAAAGAUUCAAGAUUGAUCCUGAUGGAUAUCUGUAGAGAUCGGAUACGUGUGUGGCUUAAAAAAUCUUCAAAUCUAUGAUCGUCAGCUGUGGUAAAGUUCGACCCGCACUAAGAUAUUGAGAUCUGAUCUCAAAUUUACAUUCUAAAUUUUAGAUUAUGUAUGCCAU
This 221-nucleotide long non-coding RNA is filed under the name Elaeis guineensis (African oil palm). RNAcentral's name for it is "long non-coding RNA (EGUI_LNC051893)". Lineage: Eukaryota; Viridiplantae; Streptophyta; Magnoliopsida; Arecales; Arecaceae. The record is from RNAcentral.